This 909-nucleotide ribosomal RNA is filed under the name uncultured bacterium. Its description in RNAcentral is "bacterial SSU rRNA". It matches the Rfam family "Bacterial small subunit ribosomal RNA", at positions 8 to 916 of the family's 1533-position model. The record is from RNAcentral.
AGAGUUUGAUCCUGGCUCAGGGUUAACGCUGGCGGCGUGCCUUACACAUGCAAGUCGAACGGGGCUAUCAGCGAUGGUAGCCUAGUGGCGAACGGGUGAGGAAGACGCAGGGACCUACCGACCAGAGGGGGAUACCCGCUGGAAACGGCGGAUAAAACCGCAUACGCCCGGGUGAAAGCCCGGGGAAAAGCACUACGGUGUUACUGGACGAGGGACCUGCGGCCCAUCAGGUAGUUGGGGAGGUAACGGCUCACCAAACCGACGACGGGUAUCUGGCGUGAGAGCGCGAACAGGCACAAGGACACUGAGAGACGGGUCCUACUCCUACGGGAGGCAGCAGUGGGGAAUAUUGGACAAUGGGCGAAAGCCUGAUCCAGCGACGCCGCGUGUCGGAAGGAGUCCUUCGGGAUGUAAACGACUUUUGGUGGAGACGAAUAAGCAGCUCAGGGAAUGGGGCUGUGAUGACGGUAUCCAUGGAAUAAGCCCCGGCUAACUACGUGCCAGCAGCCGCGGUAAGACGUAGGGGGCAAGCGUUACCCGGAAUUACUGGGCGUAAAGGGAGCGUAGGCGGGAGGUCAAGUCCGGUGUGAAAGACCCUGGCUCAACCAGGGAUGAGGGCUGGAAACUGACAAUCUUGAGUACAGCAGAGGAAGAGGGAAUUACCGGUGUAGGGGUGAAAUCCGUAGAGACCGGUAAGAAGGCCAGUGGCGAAGGCGCUUUUCUGGGCUGUUACUGACGCUGAGGCUCGAAAGCCAGGGGAGCAAACCGGAUUAGAUACCCGGGUAGUCCUGGGCCGUAACGAUGCUCACUAGGUGUGGGGCGCAUAGCGUGCUCUGCGCUGAAGCAAACGCAAUAAGUGAGCCGCCUGGGGAGUACGUCCGCAAGGAUGAAACUCAAAGGAAUUGACGG